This 321-nucleotide ribosomal RNA is filed under the name uncultured Pseudomonadota bacterium. RNAcentral's name for it is "bacterial SSU rRNA". It matches the Rfam family "Bacterial small subunit ribosomal RNA", at positions 29 to 351 of the family's 1533-position model. Lineage: Bacteria; Pseudomonadati; Pseudomonadota. The record is from RNAcentral.
AGUGAACGCUGGCGGCGUGCCUAACACAUGCAAGUCGAACGAUGAUAGAGAGCUUGCUUUCUUGAUUAGUGGCGCACGGGUGAGUAAUGCAUAGAUAAUGUGCCCCUUAGUUCGGGAUAGCCACUGGAAACGGUGAUUAAUACCGGAUACUCCUUCUUGCCUCAAGGUAAGUCGGGAAAGUUUUUCGCUAAGGGAUCAGUCUAUGUUCCAUCAGGUAGUUGGUGAGGUAAUGGCUCACCAAGCCUAUGACGGAUAUCUGGUUUGAGAGGAUGAUCAGACACACUGGAACUGAGACACGGUCCAGACUCCUACGGGUGGCAG